Molecule: ribosomal RNA, 433 nt
Filed under: uncultured bacterium
Lineage: Bacteria
Description: partial 16S ribosomal RNA
Rfam family: Bacterial small subunit ribosomal RNA
Source: RNAcentral
AGCGAACGCUGGCGGCAGGCCUAACACAUGCAAGUCGAACGAACCUUUCGGGGUUAGUGGCGGACGGGUGAGUAACACGUGGGAACGUGCCUUUAGGUUCGGAAUAACUCAGGGAAACUUGUGCUAAUACCGAAUGUGCCUUCGGGGGAAAGAUUUAUCGCCUUUAGAGCGGCCCGCGUCUGAUUAGCUAGUUGGUUGAGGUAAUGGCUCACCAAGGCGACGAUCAGUAGCUGGUCUGAGAGGAUGAUCAGCCACAUUGGGACUGAGACACGGCCCAAACUCCUACGGGAGGCAGCAGUGGGGAAUCUUGCGCAAUGGGCGAAAGCCUGACGCAGCCAUGCCGCGUGAAUGAUGAAGGUCUUAGGAUUGUAAAAUUCUUUCACCGGGGACGAUAAUGACGGUACCCGGAGAAGAAGCCCCGGCUAACUUCGUG